Molecule: transfer RNA, 70 nt
Filed under: Camelus bactrianus (Bactrian camel)
Lineage: Eukaryota; Metazoa; Chordata; Mammalia; Artiodactyla; Camelidae
Also listed under: 2 other names
Rfam family: tRNA
About the family: Transfer RNA (tRNA) molecules are approximately 80 nucleotides in length. Their secondary structure includes four short double-helical elements and three loops (D, anti-codon, and T loops).
Source: Rfam by way of RNAcentral
GGAAGUAGCUCAGUGGUAGAGCACAUGCUUAGAGUGCCUGAGGUCCUGAGUUCAAUUCCUAGUACCUCCA